RNAcentral lists this ribosomal RNA (496 nucleotides) under uncultured bacterium. RNAcentral's name for it is "partial 16S ribosomal RNA". It matches the Rfam family "Bacterial small subunit ribosomal RNA", at positions 28 to 507 of the family's 1533-position model. The record is from RNAcentral.
GACGAACGCUGGCGGCGUGCCUAAUACAUGCAAGUAGAACGCUGAAGGAGGAGCUUGCUCUUCUUGGAUGAGUUGCGAACGGGUGAGUAACGCGUAGGUAACCUGCCUGGUAGCGGGGGAUAACUAUUGGAAACGAUAGCUAAUACCGCAUAAUAGUAGAUGUUGCAUGACAUUUGCUUAAAAGGUGCAAUUGCAUCACUACCAGAUGGACCUGCGUUGUAUUAGCUAGUUGGUGAGGUAACGGCUCACCAAGGCAACGAUACAUAGCCGACCUGAGAGGGUGAUCGGCCACACUGGGACUGAGACACGGCCCAGACUCCUACGGGAGGCAGCAGUAGGGAAUCUUCGGCAAUGGACGGGAGUCUGACCGAGCAACGCCGCGUGAGUGAAGAAGGGUUUCGGAUCGUAAAGCUCUGUUGUAAGAGAAGAACGAGUGUGAGAGUGGAAAGUUCACACUGUGACGGUAUCUUACCAGAAAGGGACGGCUAACUACGUG